GUUUCCAGCUUCUUUGCUUUAGAACAUACAUUACUCCUGUUCUUUUCCAAACUAAAAUAAUUUUGAAUAGUUGAGUCGCCUUCAUAUGCAUACAAUAU
This 98-nucleotide non-coding RNA is filed under the name Fibrocapsa japonica. The record is from RNAcentral. Lineage: Eukaryota; Raphidophyceae; Chattonellales; Chattonellaceae.